Molecule: ribosomal RNA, 512 nt
Filed under: uncultured bacterium
Lineage: Bacteria
Description: bacterial SSU rRNA
Rfam family: Bacterial small subunit ribosomal RNA
Source: RNAcentral
AGAGUUGAUCCUGGCUCGGGAGUGAACGCUGGCGGCGUGCCUAACACAUGCAAGUCGAACGGAAACUAAGCGCUUCGGAGACUUCGGUCAAUGUUUGUUUGGUUUAGUGGCGGACGGGUGAGUAACGCGUGGAUAACCUGCCAUAUACAGGGGGAUAACAGUUAGAAAUGACUGCUAAUACCGCAUAAGCGCACAGUCUCGCAUGGGACAGUGUGAAAAACUCCGGUGGUAUAUGAUGGAUCCGCGUCUGAUUAGCCAGUUGGCGGGGUAACGGCCCACCAAAGCGACGAUCAGUAGCCGGCCUGAGAGGGUGAACGGCCACAUUGGGACUGAGACACGGCCCAAACUCCUACGGGAGGCAGCAGUGGGGGAUAUUGCACAAUGGGGGAAACCCUGAUGCAGCCGACGCCGCGUGAGUGAAGAAGUAUUUCGGUAUGUAAAGCUCUAUCAGCAGGGAAGACAAUGACGGUACCUGACUAAGAAGCACCGGCUAAAUACGUGCCAGCAGCCGC